UACGUAGGGUGCAAGCGUUGUCCGGAAUUAUUGGGCGUAAAGAGCUCGUAGGCGGUUUGUCGCGUCUGCUGUGAAAACUCGGGGCUUAACCCCGGGCCUGCAGUGGGUACGGGCAGACUAGAGUGCGGUAGGGGAGACUGGAAUUCCUGGUGUAGCGGUGGAAUGCGCAGAUAUCAGGAGGAACACCGGUGGCGAAGGCGGGUCUCUGGGCCGUAACUGACGCUGAGGAGCGAAAGCAUGGGGAGCGAACAGG
Molecule: ribosomal RNA, 253 nt
Filed under: uncultured bacterium
Lineage: Bacteria
Description: partial 16S ribosomal RNA
Rfam family: Bacterial small subunit ribosomal RNA
Source: RNAcentral